RNAcentral lists this ribosomal RNA (372 nucleotides) under uncultured organism. Its description in RNAcentral is "bacterial SSU rRNA". It matches the Rfam family "Bacterial small subunit ribosomal RNA", at positions 526 to 896 of the family's 1533-position model. The record is from RNAcentral.
CGGGGGGGGCAAGCGUUGUUCGGAAUUACUGGGCGUAAAGGGCUCGUAGGCGGCCAACUAAGUCAGACGUGAAAUCCCCAGGCUCAACCUGGGAACUGCGUCUGAUACUGGUUGGCUUGGAUCCGGGAGAGGGAUGCAGAAUUCCAGGUGUAGCGGUGAAAUGCGUAGAUAUCUGGAGGAAUACCGGUGGCGAAGGCGGCAUCCUGGACCGGCAUUGACGCUGAUGAGCGAAAGCCAGGGGAGCAAACGGGAUUAGAUACCCCGGUAGUCCUGGCCCUAAACGAUGAAUGCUUAGUGUAACGGGUAUCGAUCCCUGUUGUGCCGAAGCUAACGCAUUAAGCAUUCCGCCUGGGGAGUACGGUCGCAAGGCUG